Molecule: long non-coding RNA, 363 nt
Organism: Mytilus trossulus (common blue mussel)
Lineage: Eukaryota; Metazoa; Mollusca; Bivalvia; Mytilida; Mytilidae
Exons: 3
Source: RefSeq, a predicted model, not a curated record
AUACGUAGUUAAAAUGAGUUACGAUGCAUCUUGAUAUCAUUUUAUAGAAGGAUUUUAAACCACAAGAAGAAUGAAAGUACAGAUAAUGUUAGUAGUGGUUAUCUUUGUUGUAUCAUUGUUUGUGUCUACAACGUUGGGGCAAUAUUGGGGUAGAGGAGGUGGCGGUGGAAUGUAUAGUAGAAUGGGUGGAUAUAGUCGUUCGUUUGGUGGAAGUAGUGGAGGAGGAAAUCGCAAUUUUGCGAGAUGGUAUGGGCGAUAAAAAGCGAAUUAACAUAAACUGUUCUGUCUUAAAUUUGUACUGUACAUAUCUAUCAUUGUAAAUGUUGUAAAAUAUAUAUAACCAUAUUAAAUAUUUGCACUACA